UCCGCGUUCCCAGUGGAGCCGGCGCCCGGCCCGAGGCGCGCUAGGGCUCCCGCAGCUUUGUACGCUUUUAUGGAGGUCCCGGCGGCGGUGGCCAGAGCCUGGUUCCGGCUGCCGCCCAGUCUGUCCUUGUCAGAUCUGCACGAGCCCAGAUAAGAGGAAAGACAGAUGGAGAAAAGCUCUUCCCUUCAAGCUACUUCAUGAAUUACAACAAUUUAGUCAUUUACAUCUCUGCGGAAAAUUAAAGCAUUUUUCUGUUUUCUCUGCCUUGUCCCUCCAGAAAUUGCAGGCAUUUGGGUUCUGGACCCUUAUUAGGGAUUAAAUCAUGAGCCACUGAACCUGCUGACCUUCAACACUCGCUGGAAGAACUUCAGGAUGGAAGUCAGAAAUAAGGCCCUCUGUGCUCUGGGAAAAACUGGCAAAACAGGCCUUCAGAGAGUUAGAUAGUUUCAGUUGGGAAUAUCUACUUUCUACCAGACACGUGCUGAAAGAAGCCUGGAUCAAACCCUCAGGAAAAUGUCCCUUUGGUCAGGCCCAUGUCUUCUCAGUGUCCAGGGACUCUUCCAAACACAGUACUCCAAGUCAGUGACUGAAGUCUCCACAGGCAGAUCUCAGCAGGGAAGCUGUUCGGAGCCAGAAAUGAGCCUUGGAUACACAGGUCUGGUUGUUCGCCGUGUCACCCUGAGUCUAUCUUUCUUGGUCUGAUACAAGCCUGUACUCUCAUGCCCCUCAAGUAGCCUGUCCCAAGGAUCCAAAACCACGAGUGUGGCAUCCAGCCUUUCCCCAGACCCGGAAAAGAAAGGACAAGAUUUUCUCUGUGGCCACUUGAGAAUUUUCUCAGUAUCCACGGAGUCUCAGGGCAAUGCCUGUGUUAACUCUGCUAUCGAAUUCAGCCCAGGCCUGAAAUGUUACCGAGAAGGACCCUGUGCAGCCUUCAUGUCAUCUUCCUGCCUUUUUAUCUAUAGAAUAACUUUAGUCUAAGAAUCAGUGUAAUAAGAGAUGUGAGAAAGACACAUAAAUGCAGAGAAAAAGAAAAACAGUUAAGACAGAGUAAUGGUAGUUUUAUUUAUUCAACCAAGUCAAGGGUAUUUAAGUGAGUUCUUCUUCAAGGACUACAGAUAAUAAUCUGAGCCAUGUCCCUGAAGCUGGUUUGCAGGGGCUAAAGCCCCCAUUGGGUAGAAGAAGUCAGCUGUAGGCUGCCCACAAGCACAUGUAGAUCCCAGACUGAAGGGAACCAAAAGGUUGAUGACAGUGACUCCCAAUUACCUCACCACCCACCAAACAGGAAAAUGUCCAUGAGUUGACCAGCCUUGCUCCUCAAACAGUAGAAGGCUCUCGUUACUCCCUCUAAGGAUAGGCACAGUCCUCUAGUCAUCAGCCUGCUGUGCUCCCUCUUUGCCUAAAGUUACAUAAAUAUUUGCUUCUAGUGCCCAGAAAGGAGCCAAAUCCUGCCCAGAGAUAGGCUGAUUUUAGUACUAGGAGAGCCCAUCAUGCCCAUACUGGCUAUACCUGGGCAGCAAACCGGGUCAUAAGGAGUGACACUGUCCCAGAGUUCAGUGAGUUCUCAAGGCCUAGGGGAUCUUAUCUCUGAAGGAAUCCAGGAUCCCUGAGUUCCAAGGAGGAGCAGUGUGGAAGGAGCACAGAAUCCAAAGAGAGAGAGUUUAAGUUGGCCCCCGCUCAGCCUCUUCCUAGCUCGGUGACUCUAGGCCGGGCUCUGAGCCUCAGUGACCUCCAUCUCUAAAAUGGAGAGAGUGAGUGGCACUCUUUAAUGCGUUGUUAGGGCAAUUGCUUGAGAAAUGAUUUGUGCAAUUUUUGUUCCAUGCUUGGAAUGCAUUAAGAACUAAAUGGAAAGGCAGUCAUGGUGGUAACCCUUUAUCCAAGGUAUCUGUUUUUUCUUUUGUUGAUUUGGAGUCACUUUUAAGAAACUGAUGCCAAAUCCAAAAUCAUGAAGAUUUGAUCUUAUGUUUUCUUCUAUGAGUUUUAUCAUUUUAGCUCUUAAAUUUAGGCCUUUGAUCUGUUUGGUUAAUUUUUUUCGUUGUUGUUGGUUUUUUUGGUUUUGUUUUCAGGGCUACAUGCGAAGCAUAUGGA
Long non-coding RNA from Sus scrofa (pig), 2085 nucleotides. RefSeq lists it as uncharacterized. The record is from RefSeq and is a predicted model, not a curated record. NCBI's taxonomy places the organism in Eukaryota, Metazoa, Chordata, Mammalia, Artiodactyla, Suidae.